This 222-nucleotide long non-coding RNA is filed under the name Capsicum annuum. Its description in RNAcentral is "long non-coding RNA (CANN_LNC012843)". The record is from RNAcentral. Lineage: Eukaryota; Viridiplantae; Streptophyta; Magnoliopsida; Solanales; Solanaceae.
CCUUAAUAAAUGACUCCUGAGUUAAUAGUCGAGAUUAUGUGCAAACUAUUUUAAAUCAAGCUUAAAGGAAAUUAUGUAGCUCACCGUGAGGUGUAGUGCCGGGAGACCAAAACUGGAAAUCAUGUUUGCCAGCGUAGGGGUAUAUAUGACUAUGUGCUUAGUGCACACAUUAUAUUUUGGAAUGGAUAUCAUCAUGGUGUAUUUAGUCUUUCCUCAAUCUCC